AUACGUAGGUGGCAAGCGUUAUCCGGAAUUAUUGGGCGUAAAGAGGGAGCAGGCGGCAGCAAGGGUCUGUGGUGAAAGCCUGAAGCUUAACUUCAGUAAGCCAUAGAAACCAGGCAGCUAGAGUGCAGGAGAGGAUCGUGGAAUUCCAUGUGUAGCGGUGAAAUGCGUAGAUAUAUGGAGGAACACCAGUGGCGAAGGCGACGAUCUGGCCUGCAACUGACGCACAGUCCCGAAAGCGUGGGGAGCAAAUAGGAUUAGAUCCCCUAGUAGUCCACGCCGUAAACGAUGAGUACUAAGUGUUGGAUGUCAAAGUUCAGUCUGCAGUUAACGCAAUAAGUACUCCGCCUGAGUAGUACGUUCGCAAGAAUGAAACUCAAAGGAAUUGACGGGG
Molecule: ribosomal RNA, 391 nt
Filed under: uncultured bacterium
Lineage: Bacteria
Description: partial 16S ribosomal RNA
Rfam family: Bacterial small subunit ribosomal RNA
Source: RNAcentral